This 415-nucleotide ribosomal RNA is filed under the name Rhipicephalus haemaphysaloides. RNAcentral's name for it is "partial large subunit ribosomal RNA". Lineage: Eukaryota; Metazoa; Arthropoda; Arachnida; Ixodida; Ixodidae. The record is from RNAcentral.
AUUGUUUUAAAUUGCUGUGGUAUUUUGACUAUACAAAGGUAUUGAAAUAAGAUUUUAAUUGAAUGCUAAGAGAAUGGAAUUACAGAAAAUAGCUUUUUUUAGAUUAAAAAUUGAAAUUUUUUUAAUUUGUGCAGAAACAAUUAUUAAUAUUAAGGACAAGAAGACCCUAUGAAUUUAUAAAUUUAUGUUAUAGUAAUUAAUAUAAAAUAAAUUUUGGUUGGGGCGACAAAAAAAAAUAAAAAACUUUUUUUUUAUAAAAUGAUCCAUUAUUAAUGAUUAUAUGAAAAAUACUCUAGGGAUAACAGCGUUAUAUUUUUUGAUAGCUCAUAUUGACAAAAAAGUUUGCGACCUCGAUGUUGGAUUAGGAUACUUUUUUAAUGAAGAUAUAAAAAAAGAAGUUGUCAACCUUAAUCCC